RNAcentral lists this ribosomal RNA (428 nucleotides) under uncultured bacterium. RNAcentral describes it as "partial 16S ribosomal RNA". It matches the Rfam family "Bacterial small subunit ribosomal RNA", at positions 355 to 774 of the family's 1533-position model. The record is from RNAcentral.
UGGGGAAUAUUGGACAAUGGGGGGAACCCUGAUCCAGCCAUGCCGCGUGUGUGAAGAAGGCCUUUUGGUUGUAAAGCACUUUAAGCGAGGAGGAGGCUACCGAGAUUAAUACUCUUGGAUAGUGGACGUUACUCGCAGAAUAAGCACCGGCUAACUCUGUGCCAGCAGCCGCGGUAAUACAGAGGGGGCAAGCGUUAAUCGGAUUUACUGGGCGUAAAGCGCGCGUAGGUGGCCAAUUAAGUCAAAUGUGAAAUCCCCGAGCUUAACUUGGGAAUUGCAUUCGAUACUGGUUGGCUAGAGUAUGGGAGAGGAUGGUAGAAUUCCAGGUGUAGCGGUGAAAUGCGUAGAGAUCUGGAGGAAUACCGAUGGCGAAGGCAGCCAUCUGGCCUAAUACUGACACUGAGGUGCGAAAGCAUGGGGAGCAAACA